GGAGACCAGGGAGACGAGGGGCAGAAUCGCGGUCUUGAAUGCUGAAAAGAGCUGCAACGGUCUCGGGAGAAUUUUCGCGGAUGGGGCUUGUGAAUGAAGCCAUGAUCAGUUCCGGAGCGUUAUCGUUGACAUCUACCACCUGUAUUAUGACAGUGCAUUUUCCAGAAAGACCUGCCCCAUCAGAGGCUUUAAUAUCCACCUGAUAUGACACAAUUUUUUCAAAAUCUAGUUUUCUGAUUAUUUUAAUUUCUCCCCUUCGUUCAUUAAGUGCAAAUGUCUU
Molecule: long non-coding RNA, 280 nt
Filed under: Pan troglodytes (chimpanzee)
Lineage: Eukaryota; Metazoa; Chordata; Mammalia; Primates; Hominidae
Description: long non-coding RNA NONPTRT014272
Source: RNAcentral